RNAcentral lists this ribosomal RNA (902 nucleotides) under Pediococcus pentosaceus. RNAcentral's name for it is "bacterial SSU rRNA". It matches the Rfam family "Bacterial small subunit ribosomal RNA", at positions 59 to 918 of the family's 1533-position model. The record is from RNAcentral. Lineage: Bacteria; Bacillati; Bacillota; Bacilli; Lactobacillales; Lactobacillaceae.
GAGUCGAACGAACUUCCGUUAAUUGAUUAUGACGUACUUGUACUGAUUGAGAUUUUAACACGAAGUGAGUGGCGAACGGGUGAGUAACACGUGGGUAACCUGCCCAGAAGUAGGGGAUAACACCUGGAAACAGAUGCUAAUACCGUAUAACAGAGAAAACCGCAUGGUUUUCUUUUAAAAGAUGGCUCUGCUAUCACUUCUGGAUGGACCCGCGGCGUAUUAGCUAGUUGGUGAGGUAAAGGCUCACCAAGGCAGUGAUACGUAGCCGACCUGAGAGGGUAAUCGGCCACAUUGGGACUGAGACACGGCCCAGACUCCUACGGGAGGCAGCAGUAGGGAAUCUUCCACAAUGGACGCAAGUCUGAUGGAGCAACGCCGCGUGAGUGAAGAAGGGUUUCGGCUCGUAAAGCUCUGUUGUUAAAGAAGAACGUGGGUAAGAGUAACUGUUUACCCAGUGACGGUAUUUAACCAGAAAGCCACGGCUAACUACGUGCCAGCAGCCGCGGUAAUACGUAGGUGGCAAGCGUUAUCCGGAUUUAUUGGGCGUAAAGCGAGCGCAGGCGGUCUUUUAAGUCUAAUGUGAAAGCCUUCGGCUCAACCGAAGAAGUGCAUUGGAAACUGGGAGACUUGAGUGCAGAAGAGGACAGUGGAACUCUAUGUGUAGCGGUGAAAUGCGUAGAUAUAUGGAAGAACACCAGUGGCGAAGGCGGCUGUCUGGUCUGCAACUGACGCUGAGGCUCGAAAGCAUGGGUAGCGAACAGGAUUAGAUACCCUGGUAGUCCAUGCCGUAAACGAUGAUUACUAAGUGUUGGAGGGUUUCCGCCCUUUCAGUGCUGCAGCUAACGCAUUAAGUAAUCCGCCUGGGGAGUACGACGCAAGGUGAAACUCAAAGAUUGACGGGG